AACACAAUGCCAAAUUGACCCUAAGUGUAAUGGUCAUGACAGGUAAUAUCUUCGUAUGGAAAGUAGAAAAAUGAUUCAAAUUCCAUUCUCAAUAAAUAAUUUACUGUACAUACAAUAUAUCAAUAAUCAGAGUGUCUAAAAUAGCCAUUGAUUGAAAAAAUAUAUAUACUUUUAGACAUACUACAUUAUUAGACACAGGAAUCCAUUUUUCUUUGAUAGUAUUGCAAUAAAAAUAAUUAAAAUUGGCUAUUAAACUAAAAACUUAAGAAACUGAUUUCAAAAUUGUUUGUUGCAAACAUAUAAAAAGAAGUUGCAAACAUAUAAAAAGAAAUUGCAAAGUUGUAAAAUUAAAAGAUACACUUUGAAAUAAUUUGUAUGUUACACUGAAAGUAAUAACCAAUUAUUUCUCCCAAAAAAAAAAAAAAA
RNAcentral lists this unclassified non-coding RNA (426 nucleotides) under Hevea brasiliensis (rubber tree). The record is from RNAcentral. Lineage: Eukaryota; Viridiplantae; Streptophyta; Magnoliopsida; Malpighiales; Euphorbiaceae.